RNAcentral lists this long non-coding RNA (1067 nucleotides) under Sus scrofa (pig). RNAcentral's name for it is "lncRNA (ENSSSCG00070013244.1)". Lineage: Eukaryota; Metazoa; Chordata; Mammalia; Artiodactyla; Suidae. The record is from RNAcentral.
AUGUCUUAUCUAAAACACAGAAAGCAAAUGGCUCAGAGCCUGGUUAAAGAUGAAGUCUUUAUUGCUGGUAAUGGAUGGAUCAAGGUACCAUAUAAAACGGAGACUGACAAUCUUGGAGGGAGUCAUGCGGAAGACUGCCAAGGCAAGCAUCCUGCACCCACUUGCUUGACUGCCCAACCCUCUUUUGCCCUCAGCCUUGGGCAUUUGGACCAAGAAAGGGAAUUUGUGCCCCAAUCGCAAAUGGGGUGACUGAGCUAGCACAUUUUUUCCCUCUGGGAUUCAUCAGCUGGACAAUACAAUGUAUUCUGAGUUAGGAGACACAUUUCUAACCCUCACUUUACUAUAUUAAAUGUCAAUGCCCAUUUUAAAGCAUAAAGCAUUGUGUUCAUGAUGUACAAAUCUUUGCAAGUUCAGGCAGCAGGCCAAUUGUAGUCCAGCAGGUGGCAAGGACAAGAAGGAAGGAGGGGGUGUUUGUUGAGUGCCAAGUUGGUGUCAAACACUGUGCUGAACAUUUUCAUCUGUCAUUCCCCUCACUGCAUCAUCCUAGGCUCCCAUUUGAAAGGGAAGGAAAUCUUUUCAUUCCAGAAAGGAGAAUGGUUUCUUUGUCAUCCUUUGUUCAGGUCAAAGCAGAGGCACUGGAUAUUGGGCAAGCUAAAUAAUCUACAAAUUCCUCAGUAAUAAGCUCUGUCCCAGGAUUCAGACCUCCUCUUGAAGAUUCCCCCCUCUGGGUGCUCACAUUUUAAAGAGGGAUGCCUUUAACCACAUCCUGUCACUGCAGUGAUUCUCUUUCAUAACACUUCAUUUCGUGAGUCAUGGCACAUUAAGAAAUUAUUUUCAAUUAUUUUACUUACCUCCUAUCUUUCUGUUAGAGAGAAAGUACAGCUGUUUUAGAGCAGGAGUUGGCAAACUUUUCCUAUAAAGGGCCAGGUAGUAAAUAUUUUAGGCUCUGUGGACAAUGUGAUCUCUGCUGCACCUGCUGGACUGCUAUCCUCAAGUGAAAGCAGCCAUGGAUACCUGUAAAUGAAUGAGAACAUCUGUGUUCCAAUAAAACUUUAUUUACAAAAGCA